AAACGUUCAAAUAUUAAAGAGAAUAUAGCAUAAGGUCUUUUUAAUCGACUUCCUAUACUAUGAUAUGCACUGUAGCUAAAACCACGCUGGACCAAACAAAUAAAAGAGUUCUGGAAUGGUGAUGGCCUACAAACAAAAGACGUUCGUGUGUGAAUAGACUUUUAAUUGAUAAUGUAUUUCCAGCUAUAGUAUAUGGCAUAUACUGAAUAAGUACAGGGUAUACGAAUUCAGAUGCUUAUAUUCUUUAGAGCAUUAACAAUAUUACAGAUACUGCACCAUAUCAUACACCACAUUGCAAAAGAUUGAUAAAAUAAAGAUAGCUGACCUUAAGUUCUCAGUAAAUGCACUUACCAGUUGCAAAACAAAAUGAUCCACGAAGCACACUGUGAAAUGCAAUACAUUUGUACAAGUCUGCUAUAUCCUUCUACUAGUACCAGUGAUCAGGAACAAGAUGGGAUAUAAAUGUUUGAUCCUGGAGGAUAGUAUUGUUAGGAUAUAUUAAUCUUCAUUUGUAGUUAUCAUUUAGAAGACCCUAUGUAAGAAACUCUACAAGAUGGAGUGAUAUUCUCGUGUACUGAUGUGGAUACCUUAACAAACUGUAGAAGUGGAUUUCUAGGGUUCCUUGGGUGAGGAUUCCUAAGGUUUUAUCUCUUUGUUAUUCUUCUUUUUAAAUUGUCCUGCAUCAGUUUGGUCUUAGAGCAAACAUCGAUCCUUAUCGUUUGUUGAUUUUCUCCCAGUCAUUAUUUACCUUCAAGAGAGAGAGAGAGAAAUCUGUGUCACAAAGAGAAAGAAUGUAUUUGUUCGACCCUCACAGCCAUCAACUCAGAUUCAGAUCAGAUUACAUGACCAGCACCUGCACCGUUCACACUAACAUCAUUGUUACAGUCCCUCAUCAUCCCACCGCCGCCGCUGCAGACCACCAUCGCAGGAUGUUUCUGUUACAGUUUUCCCACACUCCAACCGUUUGCCUUGAAAUACCCACACCAUUACUUCUCCCACCAACACUAUCCACCAGUUAAUUCUAGGCCCAGUCUACUUAAAUCCAGUCCAUACAAGUCCAACAAACCCUGAACCAGUUUCUCAUUUAACCCAGCCCAAACACAAAAAUAAUACUCCCUCCAUACGAUUUUCAUUGUCCAUUAUUCUUUGCCUCUUUUAUGUCUAUUGCUUAUAUCUUUCAAUGUAGAUCUCGAAAAAUAUACGAUAUGGAUCUUAUUUGAUACAUUUUAAUUUGUUCUAUAAUACAAAGUUGUCGAAAUCAUGAAAAACAUUAUCGAUUGAAAAACAUUCUCAAUUGAAAGAUAUAGGCAAUAGACACAAAAGAGACAAAAAGAAUAAUGAACAAUGAAAAUGGGACAGAGGAAGUAAUUCUAUUAAAUAUCCUGCACCUCAAAUAGCAAACCUCAAGCAUAAUAUUCUUCCGAACCAAAUCAAACAAACAACAAAAGGCAGCAAAUCAAAAGAAGUUUGAGAGGAUUGCAUAUAUUGGAACGCUUGGAUUUCACAUUUUCUGACCACUGAAAUUGGAGAGCUUUGAGUUCAUAUUUUGAUCUGGGGUGCACACAUGGGCAGACCAACAAAUACCCGGGGCUCAAAUUUGAUCCGCAAAGGUACUAUUCUCCUUUUGAAAUUCAGAUUACUAUCUUUAUUCAUUGGAAUAUUACUAAAUUCUGCAAAGAGGUCCAACAAUUUGUGCUUCUCAUUUCCAUGCGCCCUAAUAUGGAUUCUAUUUCCAUAGAGCAUCUUGCAAAGCUCAUCAACCACCUCUCAAGUCUCAACUAAGGUUGAACGAAACAAUUCUCAAUUCUACGCUGAGUUAAGUAGGACCAUGAGAUACCUUAGACAGUCUCCUCCAAUUGUUGUUGCUAACCACGUGGUCAAUUAUUUUCGAGGGUGCAUUUCACUGACACCAUUUGAGGUUUUGCUUAAUGAUAGAUACCCCUUCACGUAUGAGAAAUGACUAUAAACUUCCUAUAGUUUCAAUGUCCAUUUCACCGACACCCAACUAACAACUCUUUGACCAACCACAUGAUGGAAUUAGCCAAAUGGCUUAUAUUGACAAAAUUCACCCUUUUUGAUAAUAAAGUAACCAAUAAAAGCUCAAAAUUCUCAAUCUUUUGGAUCCAAAAUUACUAAAUUUGUCAUUUCUAAUCCAAACGGCCCUUUCACGAUUAAAAACUAAAGGGCUACUAAUAAAUUCUACUCUUUUUCAUCAAAACAGCUCUUCCAAUGGAGGAAAAAAGAAGUUAUUUUGAUUCAAAAUACGUGAGUUGAUAUUUCUUAUUACCUUUUAUUAAAGAGUGAAUAUUCAGAUAUGUCAUUUUUGGCUCAUUCCAUCACGAGCAUGGACCAACAAUUGUCGAGUCUGGCAUUACAACUGUGGGGAGCGAGUUUUCCUAGGAAUGUGAUUUCUGAGUCUGACAUUAAAAGAGGUAAUCUUACAAUUGCGCCACACCCACAACCAUACGAGAUCACGUGGGAAAUAAUUCUAUUGUUAUGGUCUAUGAGAGAAAUUUAGGGUCAAUUAACAUGGGUAAUUUGUAUGCGGAAAAUGUUUACUGUGACAUCUUACCCAUAGAUGUUGGCCAUGUCCUUCUGAUAACUCAUGGAUGAAUGAUGUGCAUGCAAGUGGCAGAAAAAGAUUAUCAUAUUUGGUGUAAUAGUAGAUCCAACUUGCUCAAGUGCCCAACGCCUAGUCUAAAUGAUAAAAACGCACAACCCAAUUCUUCCACCCAGGGCCCCAUUAAGCAAACACUCCCAUUGUAUGCCAACCUAACUCUGAGAAAGUCGUAGGUGCGACUAGUCCAACGCAUGAUCCACUGGCUAAGGAAGUUUUGAUUUUCUACCUCAAGUGAAUCACGUGGGUAAACAUUGUCUCAAUGAGACCUCAAAAGAACUACCUAACAAUUUAUGCUCAAGAGUGAUGAUGAGUUGUAUUGCGAGGAAGAGGGACCUUUACCAACAAAUAAUCAUUUAGUCUACGAACUAUUCCUAGUCUCAUUGGACAACCUGUCCAUGAAACCAACCAUCUUCUCCCAUAUGUUCACGCCAAUGAACUUGUUUGUGCUUCCAAUAUAUUGGACCUUAAUGCAAAUUUGCAUGAUUUUUCAAUGAAUUUGGGUAUUGAUAUUGAUUUUUCUGAGGAGAAUUGUGUUUCUGGCCCAAAGUACUUUUAGCCCUCUCUUGCUCUCCACAGGAGUAAAGAAGAGCGUGCUUCUGUCUCCCACCACAACAUAGAUAGACGUUUCUUCACAGUACAUGGGACACCUUUGGACUUUCAUGAGUUGAACCACACUUCUAACUCGCCGGAGCUGAGUUCUUCUAAACAGGGGAGAAUUGAUAAGGAACAAGACGGGAAAUAUAAGAGCCUAUUUAAAGGACUCUGCAAUAUUCUUGGAAACUUCAAUUUUUUCGAGUGUCGGCGUGGAUGCCUUUACAACCCCUAGUAGCAAUUUUCUACGGCUCCUUAGGUGCGGAUUCCCGAGGUUUUAUCUUUUUGUAAAUUUUUUUUUUUAAUCAUAAUGCAUCAACCAGCGUAACCAACAUUUUAUGAUCAAAAGCUCAAGAGGCAUAUCAAUGAAACUUAUGCAUAAACGACUCUUUAAAU
Molecule: long non-coding RNA, 3607 nt
Organism: Rhododendron vialii
Lineage: Eukaryota; Viridiplantae; Streptophyta; Magnoliopsida; Ericales; Ericaceae
Exons: 3
Source: RefSeq, a predicted model, not a curated record